Molecule: long non-coding RNA, 248 nt
Filed under: Dermacentor andersoni
Lineage: Eukaryota; Metazoa; Arthropoda; Arachnida; Ixodida; Ixodidae
Description: uncharacterized LOC126518641
Source: RNAcentral
UGGAGAAAGACACAUGCAGUCACUUCAUUGCAAGGACAGGUACAGAGACUUGCGGCCACCUGAAAAAGAAGCAUUUCUACUUCGUGUGUCACCGGUCUGGAAGUUAUGCUUCACAAGCUACAAGUAAACAAAAGCUGAAGCGGCCUUCAAGUGUCAAGUGUGGAAAAAGAUGUUUUGCGGCAAUGGCUGUGACUGAAGACAACACAGGUGUGUAUGUGGUUUUCCAAUUCAAGCACAGAGGCCACGAC